GACGAACGCUGGCGGCGUGCCUAAUACAUGCAAGUCGAACGAACUCUGGUAUUGAUUGGUGCUUGCAUCAUGAUUUACAUUUGAGUGAGUGGCGAACUGGUGAGUAACACGUGGGAAACCUGCCCAGAAGCGGGGAUAACACCUGGAAACAGAUGCUAAUACCGCAUAACAACUUGGACCGCAUGGUCCGAGUUUGAAAGAUGGCUUCGGCUAUCACUUUUGGAUGGUCCCGCGGCGUAUUAGCUAGAUGGUGGGGUAACGGCUCACCAUGGCAAUGAUACGUAGCCGACCUGAGAGGGUAAUCGGCCACAUUGGGACUGAGACACGGCCCAAACUCCUACGGGAGGCAGCAGUAGGGAAUCUUCCACAAUGGACGAAAGUCUGAUGGAGCAACGCCGCGUGAGUGAAGAAGGGUUUCGGCUCGUAAAACUCUGUUGUUAAAGAAGAACAUAUCUGAGAGUAACUGUUCAGGUAUUGACGGUAUUUAACCAGAAAGCCACGGCUAACUACGUGCCAGCAGCCGCGGUAAUACGUAGGUGGCAAGCGUUGUCCGGAUUUAUUGGGCGUAAAGCGAGCGCAGGCGGUUUUUUAAGUCUGAUGUGAAAGCCUUCGGCUCAACCGAAGAAGUGCAUCGGAAACUGGGAAACUUGAGUGCAGAAGAGGACAGUGGAACUCCAUGUGUAGCGGUGAAAUGCGUAGAUAUAUGGAAGAACACCAGUGGCGAAGGCGGCUGUCUGGUCUGUAACUGACGCUGAGGCUCGAAAGUAUGGGUAGCAAACAGGAUUAGAUACCCUGGUAGUCCAUACCGUAAACGAUGAAUGCUAAGUGUUGGAGGGUUUCCGCCCUUCAGUGCUGCAGCUAACGCAUUAAGCAUUCCGCCUGGGGAGUACGGCCGCAAGGCUGAAACUCAAAGGAAUUGACGGGGGCCCGCACAAGCGGUGGAGCAUGUGGUUUAAUUCGAAGCUACGCGAAGAACCUUACCAGGUCUUGACAUACUAUGCAAAUCUAAGAGAUUAGACGUUCCCUUCGGGGACAUGGAUACAGGUGGUGCAUGGUUGUCGUCAGCUCGUGUCGUGAGAUGUUGGGUUAAGUCCCGCAACGAGCGCAACCCUUAUUAUCAGUUGCCAGCAUUAAGUUGGGCACUCUGGUGAGACUGCCGGUGACAAACCGGAGGAAGGUGGGGAUGACGUCAAAUCAUCAUGCCCCUUAUGACCUGGGCUACACACGUGCUACAAUGGAUGGUACAACGAGUUGCGAACUCGCGAGAGUAAGCUAAUCUCUUAAAGCCAUUCUCAGUUCGGAUUGUAGGCUGCAACUCGCCUACAUGAAGUCGGAAUCGCUAGUAAUCGCGGAUCAGCAUGCCGCGGUGAAUACGUUCCCGGGCCUUGUACACACCGCCCGUCACACCAUGAGAGUUUGUAACACCCAAAGUCGGUGGGGUAACCUUUUAGGAACCAGCCGCCUAAGGUGGGACAGAUGAUUAGGGUGAAGUCGUAACAAGGUAGCCGUAGAAUCGUCGACCUGC
Molecule: ribosomal RNA, 1525 nt
Filed under: Lactiplantibacillus pentosus
Lineage: Bacteria; Bacillati; Bacillota; Bacilli; Lactobacillales; Lactobacillaceae
Description: bacterial SSU rRNA
Rfam family: Bacterial small subunit ribosomal RNA
Source: RNAcentral